Molecule: ribosomal RNA, 253 nt
Filed under: uncultured bacterium
Lineage: Bacteria
Description: partial 16S ribosomal RNA
Rfam family: Bacterial small subunit ribosomal RNA
Source: RNAcentral
UACGUAGGGGGCAAGUGUUGUCCGGAUUUAUUGGGCGUAAAGAGCGUGUAGGCGGCCUGGCAGGUCCGUUGUGAAAACCCGAGGCUCAACCUCGGGACGUCGAUGGAAACCGCAAGGCUAGAGUCCGGAAGAGGAGAGUGGAAUUCCUGGUGUAGCGGUGAAAUGCGCAGAUAUCAGGAAGAACACCCGUGGCGAAGGCGGCUCUCUGGGACGGUACUGACGCUGAGACGCGAAAGCGUGGGGAGCGAACAGG